GACGAACGCUGGCGGCGUGCCUAAUACAUGCAAGUUGAGCGCUGAAGGUUGGUACUUGUACCAACUGGAUGAGCAGCGAACGGGUGAGUAACGCGUGGGGAAUCUGCCUUUGAGCGGGGGACAACAUUUGGAAACGAAUGCUAAUACCGCAUAAAAACUUUAAACACAAGUUUUAAGUUUGAAAGAUGCAAUUGCAUCACUCAAAGAUGAUCCCGCGUUGUAUUAGCUAGGUGGUGAGGUAAAGGCUCACCAAGGCGAUGAUACAUAGCCGACCUGAGAGGGGGGUCGGCCAAAGUGGGACUGAGACACGGCCCAAACUCCUACGGGAGGCAGCAGUAGGGAAUCUUCGGGAAUGGACGAAAGUCUGACCGAGCAACGCCGCGUGAGGGAAGAAGGUUUUCGGAUCGUAAAACUCGGUUGGUAGAGAAGAACGUUGGUGGGAGUGGAAAGCUCAUCAAGUGACGGUAACUACCCAGAAAGGGACGGCUAACUACGUG
Molecule: ribosomal RNA, 497 nt
Filed under: uncultured bacterium
Lineage: Bacteria
Description: partial 16S ribosomal RNA
Rfam family: Bacterial small subunit ribosomal RNA
Source: RNAcentral